RNAcentral lists this ribosomal RNA (344 nucleotides) under uncultured bacterium. RNAcentral's name for it is "partial 16S ribosomal RNA". It matches the Rfam family "Bacterial small subunit ribosomal RNA", at positions 338 to 698 of the family's 1533-position model. The record is from RNAcentral.
UCUACGGGUGGCAGCAGUGGGGGAUAUUGCACAAUGGGGGGAACCCUGAUGCAGCGACGCCGCGUGGGUGAAGGAGCGUUUCGGCGCGUAAAGCCCUAUCGGCAUGGAAGAAGGAGGACGGUACCUGACUAAGAAGCCCCGGCUAACUACGGGCCAGCAGCCGCGGUAAUACGUAGGGGGCAAGCGUUAUCCGGAUAUACUGGGUGUAAAGGGGGCGCAGACGGCAGCGCAAUCCAGGAGUGAAAGCCCGGGGCCGAACCCCGGGACUGCACUUGGAACUGCGCGGCGGGAGUGCAGGAGGGGCAGGCGGAAGUCCUGGUGGAGCGGUGAAAAGCGUAGAUAUC